GAUGAACGCUGGCGGCGUGCCUAAUACAUGCAAGUCGAGCGGACGGACGAGAAGCUUGCUUCUCUGAUGUUAGCGGCGGACGGGUGAGUAACACGUGGAUAACCUACCUAUAAGACUGGGAUAACUUCGGGAAACCGGAGCUAAUACCGGAUGAUAUUUUGAACCACAUGGUUCAAAAGUGAAAGACGGUCUUGCUGUCACUUAUAGAUGGAUCCGCGCUGCAUUAGCUAGUUGGUAAGGUAACGGCUUACCAAGGCAACGAUGCAUAGCCGACCUGAGAGGGUGAUCGGCCACACUGGAACUGAGACACGGUCCAGACUCCUACGGGAGGCAGCAGUAGGGAAUCUUCCGCAAUGGGCGAAAGCCUGACGGAGCAACGCCGCGUGAGUGAUGAAGGUCUUCGGAUCGUAAAACUCUGUUAUUAGGGAAGAACAUAUGUGUAAGUAACUGUGCACAUCUUGACGGUACCUAAUCAGAAAGCCACGGCUAACUACGUG
RNAcentral lists this ribosomal RNA (497 nucleotides) under uncultured bacterium. Its description in RNAcentral is "partial 16S ribosomal RNA". It matches the Rfam family "Bacterial small subunit ribosomal RNA", at positions 28 to 507 of the family's 1533-position model. The record is from RNAcentral.